This 2465-nucleotide ribosomal RNA is filed under the name human gut metagenome. RNAcentral's name for it is "bacterial LSU rRNA". It matches the Rfam family "Bacterial large subunit ribosomal RNA", at positions 505 to 2844 of the family's 2925-position model. The record is from RNAcentral.
GAGGGAAAGGUGAAAAGCACCCCGGGAGGGGAGUGAAACAGUUCCUGAAACCGUGCGCCCACAAACCGUCGGAGCCUCCGCGUGGGGUGACGGCGUGCCUAUCGAAAAAUGAGUCUGCGAGUCAGUGGCGGGUGGCGAGCAUAAGCCGUGUGGCGUAUGCGUAGCGAAAGCGAGUCUUAAAAGGCGUUUUUAGUCGCUUGUCCUGGACCCGAAGCGGGAUGAUCUAGCCCUGGGCAGGUUGAAGCGCGGGUAAGACCGCGUGGAGGACCGAACCCACCUGGGUUGAAAACCGGGGGGAUGACCUGGGGCUAGGGGUGAAAGGCCAAUCAAAUUCCGUGAUAGCUGGUUCUCUCCGAAAUGCAUUUAGGUGCAGCGUCGGUCGAUUGCGUCGCGGGGGUAGAGCUACCGGAUGCUUGCGGGCCCUUGUUGGGUACCAACAGCAGCCGAACUCCGAAUACCGUUGACGUGUAUUCCGGCAGUGAGUCGGCGGGGGAUAAGCUCCGUCGUCGAGAGGGAGACAGCCCAGACCGUCGUCUAAGGUCCCGAAGCGUGUGCUAAGUGGGAAAGGAUGUGGAGUCGCAUAGACAGCCAGGAGGUUGGCUCAGAAGCAGCCAUCCUUGAAAGAGUGCGUAACAGCUCACUGGUCUAGUGGUUCCGCGCCGACAAUGUAGCGGGGCUCAAGCACACCACCGAAGACGCGGCAGCAAUCUUCAUGGUUGCUGGGUAGGAGAGCGUCCUGCGAGGGGCGAAGCGGCCGGGUAACCGUGCCGUGGACUUCGUGGGAGUGAGAAUGCAGACAUGAGUAGCGAGAGACGGGUGAGGAUCCCGUCCGCUGGAUGACCAAGGGUUCCGGGGCCACGUUCGUCGUCCCCGGGUGAGUCGGGUCCUAAGGCGAGGCCGACAGGCGUAGUCGAAUGGAUGAACGGGUGGAUAUUCCCGUACCGACCAUGGACCGGCAAAACCGAGACGGUGAGUACUAACCUCCGCCUCGUGGUGGUUCCUUCCUUCGGGUUGGUUCCGCCGCGUGGUGUUGGGAGCGUAGCCGUAGUAGGUCAGCGCAGGGGUGACACGGAAUGGGAGCCGGCCGCGGAGGUGGUUUUCCGUGGUCAAGCACGCAGCCAGUCAUGUAGGCAAAUCCGCAUGGCGCGCAUGGCGAGGUGUGAUGAUGGGAGCCGUUAUGGCUCGAUAUCCGGUUGUCCAGGCCGUCGAGAAAAGCCUCGGCGUGAGGGCCAUGGCCGCCCGUACCCCAAACCGACACUGGUGGUCAGGUAGAGAAUACCAAGGCGAUCGAGCGAAUCCUGGUCAAGGAACUCGGCAAAUCACUCCCGUGCCUUCGGUAUAAGGGAGACCCGCUGGGGUGAACCGGCUAGCCCGGGGAGCUUUGGUGGGUGGCACAGACCAGGGGGUAGCGACUGUUUACCAAAAACACAGGUGCAUGCGAAGGCGAAAGCCGCUGUAUAUGCACUGACGCCUGCCCGGUGCCGGAAGGUUAAGAGGAUCCGUCAACUCUUCGGAGCGAAGCGGUGAAUUCAAGCCCCGGUAAACGGCGGUGGUAACUAUAACCAUCCUAAGGUAGCGAAAUUCCUUGUCGGGUAAGUUCCGACCUGCACGAAUGGCGUAACGACUUCCCCACUGUCUCGACCAGGAGCUCGGCGAAAUUGCAGUACGAGUAAAGAUGCUCGUUAAGCGCAGAAGGACGAAAAGACCCCGGGACCUUUACUAUACCUUGGUAUUGGCGUUAGGCGCGGAUUGUGUAGCAUAGGCGGGAGGCUUCGAAGCGGGUGCGCCAGCAUUCGUGGAGCCGCAAGGUGAAAUACCGCUCUGUUCUCGUUUGACGUCUAACCUCGACAAGUCAUCCUUGUCAGGGACAGUGCCUGGCGGGUAGUUCAACUGGGGCGGUUGCCUCCCAAAGAGUAACGGAGGCGCUCAAAGGUCCGCUCAGCCCGGUUGGCAAUCGGGUGUCGAGUGUAAUCGCACAAGCGGGCUUGACUGCGAGGACGACGGUCCGAGCAGGGACGAAAGUCGGAGAUAGUGAUCCGGUGCCGGCGCACGGGCGCGGCAUCGCUCAACGGAUAAAAGGUACCCCGGGGAUAACAGGCUGAUCAUUCCCAAGAGUCCAUAUCGACGGGAUGGUUUGGCACCUCGAUGUCGGCUCGUCGCAUCCUGGGGCUGGAGCAGGUCCCAAGGGUUCGGCUGUUCGCCGAUUAAAGCGGCACGCGAGCUGGGUUCAGAACGUCGUGAGACAGUUUGGUCUCUAUCCUCUGCGCUCGUUGGAAUCCUGAGGAGGCCUGCCCAUAGUACGAGAGGACCUGGGUGGACGAACCUCUGGUAUGCCGGUUGUCGCGCCAGCGGCACGGCCGGUUGGCUACGUUCGGGAGGGAUAACCGCUGAAAGCAUCUAAGCGGGAAGCCUGCUCCAAGAUUAGGAUUCCAUGGAUCUUCGAGAUCCUGUAGCCCGCAUGUUGA